AUGACUAAGUGUAUGCAAGAGAUAGUCCGUGGAUGUGUGGGGAAGCCAAUUGUCGAAAAUACUCGUUCCUGCCGGUGUGAAUGCCCAGCCCUCAUCAGACUACUGCGGACAAAGAACAAUGGAUGGUACAUAGCAGAGCAUCGAGAUGGGCACAACCAUGCACUUUCCCAAAUGUAUGGACAGACAAUACACUGGCCUACGACAGUGAGCGCGGAAGCACGGAUCUGCGCAAUGGACACAUCAGCGGUGGUGAAUGAGGGACAGCUCGUGUCAGGCCUCGGAGCUCUGAACUGGAAAGAUGAAUCCACAUGCUUCUAUCUGGAAUUAGAGGAUAAAGCUAGUGUUGAGAACACGAGGUCUUGUCGUUGCGAAUGCCCGGCUCUAAUAAGACUGCUACAGACAGAGGACGAUGGGUGGUACAUUGCAGAGCACAGGGGGAGUCACAACCAUUCCCUUUCACUGAAUUUUGGUGAGACGAUCCACCAGCCCUCGCACAAGCACAUUGAUGUGUACGGCUGA
RNAcentral lists this ribosomal RNA (519 nucleotides) under Triticum aestivum (bread wheat). Its description in RNAcentral is "partial small subunit ribosomal RNA". Lineage: Eukaryota; Viridiplantae; Streptophyta; Magnoliopsida; Poales; Poaceae. The record is from RNAcentral.